RNAcentral lists this transfer RNA (72 nucleotides) under Okapia johnstoni (okapi). RNAcentral describes it as "tRNA-Gln". It matches the Rfam family "tRNA". From Rfam's summary of the family: Transfer RNA (tRNA) molecules are approximately 80 nucleotides in length. Their secondary structure includes four short double-helical elements and three loops (D, anti-codon, and T loops). The record is from RNAcentral. Lineage: Eukaryota; Metazoa; Chordata; Mammalia; Artiodactyla; Giraffidae.
UAGAAUUUGGUGUAGUUGGGAGCACGGAGAGUUUUGGGUUCUUAGGGGUAGGUUCAAUUCCUAUAAUUCUAG